GAUGAACGCUAGCUACAGGCUUAACACAUGCAAGUCGAGGGGAAACGACAUCGAAAGCUUGCUUUUGAUGGGCGUCGACCGGCGCACGGGUGAGUAACGCGUAUCCAACCUGCCCAUCACUUGGGAAUAACCUUGCGAAAGUAAGACUAAUACCCAAUGACAUCCCACGAAGACAUCUGAAUGGGAUUAAAGAUUUAUCGGUGAUGGAUGGGGAUGCGUCUGAUUAGCUUGUUGGCGGGGUAACGGCCCACCAAGGCAACGAUCAGUAGGGGUUCUGAGAGGAAGGUCCCCCACAUUGGAACUGAGACACGGUCCAAACUCCUACGGGAGGCAGCAGUGAGGAAUAUUGGUCAAUGGGCGAGAGCCUGAACCAGCCAAGUAGCGUGCAGGAUGACGGCCCUAUGGGUUGUAAACUGCUUUUAUAAGGGAAUAAAGUGGGUCUCGUGAGACUUUUUGCAUGUACCUUAUGAAUAAGAACCGGCUAAGUCCGUG
Molecule: ribosomal RNA, 492 nt
Filed under: uncultured bacterium
Lineage: Bacteria
Description: partial 16S ribosomal RNA
Rfam family: Bacterial small subunit ribosomal RNA
Source: RNAcentral